RNAcentral lists this ribosomal RNA (247 nucleotides) under uncultured bacterium. RNAcentral describes it as "partial 16S ribosomal RNA". It matches the Rfam family "Bacterial small subunit ribosomal RNA", at positions 107 to 354 of the family's 1533-position model. The record is from RNAcentral.
UGAGUAACGCGUGAGGAACCUGCCUUCCAGAGGGGGACAACAGUUGGAAACGACUGCUAAUACCGCAUGACACAUGACCGUGGCAUCACGGACAUGUCAAAGAUUUAUCGCUGGAAGAUGGCCUCGCGUCUGAUUAGCUAGUAGGCGGGGUAACGGCCCACCUAGGCGACGAUCAGUAGCCGGACUGAGAGGUUGACCGGCCACAUUGGGACUGAGAUACGGCCCAGACUCCUACGGAAGGCAGCAG